CUUUGCCUACGGGACGCAGCAGUGGGGGAUAUUGCACAAUGGGGGAAACCCUGAUGCAGCGACGCCGCGUGAGUGAAGAAGUAUUUCGGUAUGUAAAGCUCUAUCAGCAGGGAAGAAAAAAGACGGUACCUGACUAAGAGGCCCCGGCUAACUACGUGCCAGCAGCCGCGGUAAUACGUAGGGGGCAAGCGUUAUCCGGAUUUACUGGGUGUAAAGGGAGCGUAGACGGUUAAGUAAGUCUGGAGUGAAAGGCCGGGGCCCAACCCCGGGACUGCUCUGGAAACUAUUGAACUUGAGUGCAGGAG
Molecule: ribosomal RNA, 305 nt
Filed under: uncultured bacterium
Lineage: Bacteria
Description: bacterial SSU rRNA
Rfam family: Bacterial small subunit ribosomal RNA
Source: RNAcentral